UGGGGAAUUGUUCGCAAUGGGCGCAAGCCUGACGACGCAACGCCGCGUGGAGGAUGAAGAUCUUCGGGUCGUAAACUCCUGUCGAGCGGGAAGAACACCUGCAUAGCUAACAUUUAUGCAGGUUGACGGUACCGCUAAAGGAAGCCCCGGCUAACUCCGUGCCAGCAGCCGCGGUAAUACGGGGGGGGCAAGCGUUGUUCGGAAUUACUGGGCGUAAAGGGCUCGUAGGCGGCCAACUAAGUCAGACGUGAAAUCCCCAGGCUCAACCUGGGAACUGCGUCUGAUACUGGAUGGCUUGAAUCCGGGAGAGGGAUGCAGAAUUCCAGGUGUAGCGGUGAAAUGCGUAGAUAUCUGGAGGAAUACCGGUGGCGAAGGCGGCAUCCUGGACCGGCAUUGACGCUGAGGAGCGAAAGCCAGGGGAGCAAACGG
RNAcentral lists this ribosomal RNA (429 nucleotides) under uncultured bacterium. RNAcentral's name for it is "bacterial SSU rRNA". It matches the Rfam family "Bacterial small subunit ribosomal RNA", at positions 355 to 775 of the family's 1533-position model. The record is from RNAcentral.